Molecule: ribosomal RNA, 278 nt
Filed under: uncultured bacterium
Lineage: Bacteria
Description: partial 16S ribosomal RNA
Rfam family: Bacterial small subunit ribosomal RNA
Source: RNAcentral
AACGAACGCUGGCGGCAGGCUUAACACAUGCAAGUCGAGCGAGACCUUCGGGUCUAGCGGCGGACGGGUGAGUAACGCGUGGGAACGUGCCCUUCUCUACGGAAUAGCCCCGGGAAACUGGGAGUAAUACCGUAUACGCCCUUUGGGGGAAAGAUUUAUCGGAGAAGGAUCGGCCCGCGUUGGAUUAGGUAGUUGGUGAGGUAACGGCUCACCAAGCCGACGAUCCAUAGCUGGUUUGAGAGGAUGAUCAGCCACACUGGGACUGAGACACGGCCCAG